GUGGUGCGGGGGCGCGGC
Molecule: unclassified non-coding RNA, 18 nt
Filed under: Chlamydomonas reinhardtii
Lineage: Eukaryota; Viridiplantae; Chlorophyta; Chlorophyceae; Chlamydomonadales; Chlamydomonadaceae
Description: small RNA Cre_2072
Source: RNAcentral